This 377-nucleotide ribosomal RNA is filed under the name uncultured bacterium. RNAcentral describes it as "bacterial SSU rRNA". It matches the Rfam family "Bacterial small subunit ribosomal RNA", at positions 521 to 896 of the family's 1533-position model. The record is from RNAcentral.
UAAUACGUAGGGAGCAAGCGUUACUCGGAAUUACUGGGCAUAAAGGGCGUGUAGGCGGAUGCGCAAGUCCGAUGUGAAAGCCCUCGGCUCAACCGAGGAAUGCCACCGGAUACUGCGUGACUAGAGUUCGGGAGGGGAGAGUGGAACUCUUGGUGGAGCGGUGAAAUGCGUAGAUAUCAAGAGGAACGCCGGUGGCGAAAGCGACUCUCUGGCCCGACACUGACGCUGAGGCGCGAAAGCCAGGGGAGCGAACGGGAUUAGAUACCCCGGUAGUCCUGGCCCUAAACGAUGGGCACUAAGUAGAGGUAGCUCCGAUGUUGUCUCUGCUGUAGCUAAUGUGAUAAGUGCCCCGCCUGGGGAGUACGGUCGCAAGGCUG